RNAcentral lists this ribosomal RNA (253 nucleotides) under uncultured bacterium. RNAcentral's name for it is "partial 16S ribosomal RNA". It matches the Rfam family "Bacterial small subunit ribosomal RNA", at positions 524 to 776 of the family's 1533-position model. The record is from RNAcentral.
UACAGAGGUCUCAAGCGUUGUUCGGAAUUACUGGGCGUAAAGGGCUCGUAGGCGGCCAACUAAGUCAGACGUGAAAUCCCUCGGCUUAACCGGGGAACUGCGUCUGAUACUGGAUGGCUUGAGUUUGGGAGAGGGAUGCGGAAUUCCAGGUGUAGCGGUGAAAUGCGUAGAUAUCUGGAGGAACACCGGUGGCGAAGGCGACAUCCUGGACCAACACUGACGCUGAGGAGCGAAAGCCAGGGGAGCAAACGGG